RNAcentral lists this ribosomal RNA (748 nucleotides) under uncultured Lachnospiraceae bacterium. Its description in RNAcentral is "bacterial SSU rRNA". It matches the Rfam family "Bacterial small subunit ribosomal RNA", at positions 28 to 776 of the family's 1533-position model. The record is from RNAcentral. Lineage: Bacteria; Bacillati; Bacillota; Clostridia; Lachnospirales; Lachnospiraceae.
GAUGAACGCUGGCGGCGUGCUUAACACAUGCAAGUCGAACGAAGCUAUUAAAAGGAAGUUUUCGGAUGGAAUUUUAAUAGACUUAGUGGCGGACGGGUGAGUAACGCGUGGAUAACCUGCCUUAUACAGGGGGAUAACGGAGAGAAAUUUCCGCUAAGACCGCAUAAGACCACAGCACCGCAUGGUGCAGGGGUAAAAUAUUUAUAGGUAUAAGAUGGAUCCGCGUCCGAUUAGCUAGUUGGUGAGGUAGAGGCUCACCAAGGCGACGAUCGGUAGCCGGCCUGAGAGGGUGAACGGCCACAUUGGGACUGAGACACGGCCCAAACCCCUACGGGAGGCAGCAGUGGGGAAUAUUGGACAAUGGGGGGAACCCUGAUCCAGCGACGCCGCGUGAGUGAAGAAGUAUUUCGGUAUGUAAAGCUCUAUCAGCAGGGAAGAAAAUGACGGUACCUGACUAAGAAGCCCCGGCUAACUACGUGCCAGCAGCCGCGGUAAUACGUAGGGGGCAAGCGUUAUCCGGAUUUACUGGGUGUAAAGGGAGCGCAGACGGCGAUGCAAGUCUGAAGUGAAAGGCGUGGGCUCAACCCAUGAACUGCUUUGGAAACUGUAUAGCUUGAGUGUCGGAGGGGUAAGCGGAAUUCCUAGUGUAGCGGUGAAAUGCGUAGAUAUUAGGAGGAACACCGGAGGCGAAGGCGGCUUACUGGACGACAACUGACGUUGAGGCUCGAAGGCGUGGGGAGCAAACAGG